RNAcentral lists this ribosomal RNA (440 nucleotides) under uncultured bacterium. RNAcentral describes it as "bacterial SSU rRNA". It matches the Rfam family "Bacterial small subunit ribosomal RNA", at positions 339 to 796 of the family's 1533-position model. The record is from RNAcentral.
CCUCGGGAGGCAGCAGUGGGGAAUAUUGGACAAUGGGGGAAACCCUGAUCCAGCAAUGCCGCGUGGGUGAUGAAGGCCUUCGGGUUGUAAAGCCCUUUUGGCGGGGACGAUGAUGACGGUACCCGCCGAAUAAGCCCCGGCUAACUUCGUGCCAGCAGCCGCGGUAAUACGAAGGGGGCUAGCGUUGUUCGGAAUUACUGGGCGUAAAGGGCGCGUAGGCGGUCUGCAUAGUCAGGCGUGAAAUCCCUGGGCUUAACCCCGGAAUUGCGCUUGAUACUGGCGGGCUAGAGUGUGGGAGAGGGUGGUGGAAUUCCCAGUGUAGAGGUGAAAUUCGUAGAUAUUGGGAAGAGCACCAGUGGCGAAGGCGGCCACCUGGACCACAACUGACGCUGAGGCGCGAAAGCGUGGGGAGCAAACAGGAUUAGAAACCCGUGUAGUCC